Molecule: ribosomal RNA, 237 nt
Filed under: uncultured Staphylococcus sp.
Lineage: Bacteria; Bacillati; Bacillota; Bacilli; Caryophanales; Staphylococcaceae
Description: partial 16S ribosomal RNA
Rfam family: Bacterial small subunit ribosomal RNA
Source: RNAcentral
CGGGUGAGUAACACGUGGAUAACCUACCUAUAAGACUGGGAUAACUUCGGGAAACCGGAGCUAAUACCGGAUAAUAUUUUGAACCGCAUGGUUCAAAAGUGAAAGACGGUCUUGCUGCCACUUAUAGAUGGAUCCGCGCUGCAUUAGCUAGUUGGUAAGGUAACGGCUUACCAAGGCAACGAUGCAUAGCCGACCUGAGAGGGUGAUCGGCCACACUGGAACUGAGACACGGUCCAG